Balaenoptera ricei (Rice's whale) is the source of this 910-nucleotide long non-coding RNA. RefSeq lists it as uncharacterized. The record is from RefSeq and is a predicted model, not a curated record. The transcript has 3 exons. NCBI's taxonomy places the organism in Eukaryota, Metazoa, Chordata, Mammalia, Artiodactyla, Balaenopteridae.
CCCCGCCCAUCACGGGCCUAGGUUGUACGGGUUUGCAGUCUUCGGGCCACUGUUCGAGAGGCCUUCGCUGGUCGGGUGGGUGUUGCCAGGAGGAUGCAGCUUUGCGCCAAAGUCAGGGAGGGCGCCCAAAGCCGCGAACAAGGUUCAGCGCCCUCCAAAGCCAACUCGGUCCUAUUCAAACCUCGCGCGCCCAUUGGAACAGCCCCCUGGGGCGGGGCAUACGUAGGCCACCUGAGUGGCGGCUCUUGGCUCCAGUGAAUGGCCUGCUUCGUGCUAGCUCUGACCCCACCCCCCAGGAGGGAGGAACGGCACAGAGUCCUGGGCCUGGAUUCCCCAGGGGAAGCCGCGUGCUCCUUAACUGGACCCUCCGAGGGGUUCCGCCCUAAGUCCGAAGUAAGACUGUGGAGUUUGGAACCUUGAAGAAAGAGCACCCUAGUUACCACCAAAGGCCAAUCAGGAUCCUGAAAUCUGACCAAUCAGAUGAUUGGCGGCGGGGCCAUGUGGAGUAAGCCUCACUCCCAGCCUCUGCAAAAGAGGAGAGGAAAGGUUUUGCUCCAGUUCUUACAACCAGCUCCAACCUGCUGGUUGACUCCCGAAUCCCUGGGGGCUGAAAGGAUGCAGUGAGUGUUCCUCAGACGGGCCAAGCUGGUCCCUCCCACCCAGCCUUUGAUCUUGCCCGUGCUUUCUGCUUGGACAGCUCUUUCUCCUCAUCAUCACUCUGGCUGGCUCCUGAGUACCAUUCAGGUCUCAACUCAAAAGUCACCUCCUUAGCAAGGCCUUCCCAGCGCACCUAUCUGAAGCUCCAGACAUUACUCUGUAUUGUAUUAUCCUUUUGUAUUUUUAUUAUUUGUUAAAUCAUAGCAGUUAUUACCUGAAAUUUAUGUGUUGCUGUUUGUUUUUUUUUUAUUUU